Syntrophomonas zehnderi OL-4 is the source of this 124-nucleotide ribosomal RNA. It matches the Rfam family "Bacterial small subunit ribosomal RNA", at positions 1 to 134 of the family's 1533-position model. Lineage: Bacteria; Bacillati; Bacillota; Clostridia; Eubacteriales; Syntrophomonadaceae. The record is from Rfam.
UUAUUGGAGAGUUUGAUCCUGGCUCAGGACGAACGCUGGCGGCGUGCCUAACACAUGCAAGUCGAACGGACUAAUGUUUGACACUGAGUGUUUUAAGAAGGAUCAAGAAGAGUCAAGACCCGAA